UAGUACUUCUUAGUAUGUGCUGUAAAGUAUAGGAAGGCGAGGCAUGGAGGCCGAGCCAGUCCGAACACGACAGGAUGUCGUGUAGAGGACGAUUCCGUAACUUCUAGAAUCUAAUCCGCACAUACUUAGAAGUACUUAGUUGUGAAGC
RNAcentral lists this non-coding RNA (148 nucleotides) under Anaerosporobacter mobilis. The record is from RNAcentral. Lineage: Bacteria; Bacillati; Bacillota; Clostridia; Lachnospirales; Lachnospiraceae.